UUAUACUGUCCACCACCCUCAUUUGCACCUUCAUCUCUAUUUUUUUUUCAAUUCCUUCAUCUUCUUUUGCUCUCAAAUCAAAAUAGAACCACAACCACCUCCUUUUAACUUUUGUUCUCCAACCACUACAACUGAGCCCUCCACCACCAUUAAAAACCUCCUAACCACCGUAGACGCCGCCCAUUUCCACUCCUCCUUCCUUCUACCGUCGUGCAUCACCGUGAGUUGUCGUGACCGCCACCAUGAACUGCCGCCACCGUCGGACCACCGUCGUCGUCAUCGCCAGUGACCAAAAUUUUCCUUUUUGAUUUCUCUUUCUUUUGUCAAUUUCUUAGUGACUACAACUCAUAUUUUUCUUUCACUUAUUCGAUUACUUUAGAUCACUCAAACAUCAAUCUCAUUCUAUUCUUGAUCCUUCAAUCAUCUCGUAUUAAAUCAAGUGACCAAACAACGCCAAGCAAAAAGACCCUUAGUGUGAUAACGAAGACAACAAAUCCAAGUUUCGAUUUAAGGGUAAUUCUUGUAAUUGAGGCUCAGAUUCGGAUCUUCGGAGGGGCUCUCCGGUUAACGAUCUUUUGGUCAUGGAUUUUCUUUUAAAUAAUGUGGGACUUUUAAUAACUAUAUGAGUUCAUUUUGGAUUUUUAUUAUAGACUUUAAUUUGAUUUUGUCUUAAUAAUUUUUUUGGACUUUA
Gossypium raimondii (Peruvian cotton) is the source of this 691-nucleotide long non-coding RNA. RefSeq lists it as uncharacterized. The transcript has 3 exons. The record is from RefSeq and is a predicted model, not a curated record. Lineage: Eukaryota; Viridiplantae; Streptophyta; Magnoliopsida; Malvales; Malvaceae.